CUUGAGCGCGCCCAGCCACAAGGGUUCGCCCCCGGCCCGGUCCGCCCCGUAGGCGGCCAGCACGGCCUGUGCCUC
Molecule: antisense RNA, 75 nt
Filed under: Streptomyces albus
Lineage: Bacteria; Bacillati; Actinomycetota; Actinomycetes; Kitasatosporales; Streptomycetaceae
Also listed under: 1 other name
Description: ASpks TB sRNA
Rfam family: ASpks TB sRNA
Source: RNAcentral